RNAcentral lists this small nuclear RNA (98 nucleotides) under Dasypus novemcinctus (nine-banded armadillo). The record is from RNAcentral. Lineage: Eukaryota; Metazoa; Chordata; Mammalia; Cingulata; Dasypodidae.
GUGCUCAUUUCAGCAGCAUAUAUUGUAAGGAAACAGAAAAGAUUAGCAUGGCCCCUGUGCAGCAUGACAUGCAAAUUCAGGAAGCAGUCCAUAUUUUU